CACUCCUACGGGAGGCAGCAGUGGGGAAUUUUGGACAAUGGGCGAAAGCCUGAUCCAGCAAUGCCGCGUGAGUGAAGAAGGCCUUCGGGUUGUAAAGCUCUUUUGUCAGGGAAGAAACGGUGAAAGCUAAUAUCUUUUGCUAAUGACGGUACCUGAAGAAUAAGCACCGGCUAACUACGUGCCAGCAGCCGCGGUAAUACGUAGGGUGCAAGCGUUAAUCGGAAUUACUGGGCGUAAAGCGUGCGCAGGCGGUUUUGUAAGUCUGAUGUGAAAUCCCCGGGCUCAACCUGGGAAUUGCAUUGGAGACUGCAAGGCUAGAAUCUGGCAGAGGGGGGUAGAAUUCCACGUGUAGCAGUGAAAUGCGUAGAUAUGUGGAGGAACACCGAUGGCGAAGGCAGCCCCCUGGGUCAAGAUUGACGCUCAUGCACGAAAGCGUGGGGAGCAAACAGGAUUAGAAACCCUGGUAGUCCC
This 471-nucleotide ribosomal RNA is filed under the name uncultured organism. RNAcentral describes it as "partial 16S ribosomal RNA". It matches the Rfam family "Bacterial small subunit ribosomal RNA", at positions 334 to 797 of the family's 1533-position model. The record is from RNAcentral.